RNAcentral lists this ribosomal RNA (534 nucleotides) under Sclerocypha bisignata. RNAcentral's name for it is "partial 16S ribosomal RNA". It matches the Rfam family "Bacterial large subunit ribosomal RNA", at positions 1830 to 2619 of the family's 2925-position model. The record is from RNAcentral. Lineage: Eukaryota; Metazoa; Arthropoda; Insecta; Odonata; Chlorocyphidae.
GUCUUGUUGAUUAUUAUAAUAAGUCUGACCUGCCCAGUGAUUUUUAAUUUAACGGCCGCAGUAUUUUGACUGUGCAAAGGUAGCAUAAUCAUUAGUCUUUUAAUAGGAGGCUGGAAUGAAUGGUUUGACGAAACAUUAACUGUCUCAUUUUUAUUAAUUGAAUUUAACUUUUAAGUUAAAAGGCUUAAAUUUUUUUGGAAGACGAGAAGACCCUAUAGAGCUUUAUUUAAUUUAUUUUAUUUAUUUAUUAGUUGAUAAAUUUUAUUAAUUUUGAUUUAGAAUUUGUUGGGGUGAUGGUAGAUAUAAACUUAACUUUUAUAAUUAUUUAUACAUUUAUUUAUGAAGUUUUAGAUCCAUUAUUAUGAUUAUUAGAUUAAGUUACCUUAGGGAUAACAGCGUAAUUUUUCCUUUGAGUUCUUAUUUUCGGAAAAGAUUGCGACCUCGAUGUUGGAUUAAGAUUACAAUUGGGUGUAGCUGCUUAUUUUGUAGGUCUGUUCGACCUUUAAAUUCUUACAUGAUCUGAGUUCAGACCGG